CCUAUCAGAGUGCAGCUCUUAACCCGUAGCUGACCUCUAGGCAGACUACACUCUGGACCUGCAGCUGCAAUCUGACUUUAAUUUGCUCACAAACUCGGGAUCGUUUUGUUGUUUCACACAUGACGCAGGUUCCCACGUAUCCUCUUCUUCUUCUUCCCCUCUCCCUCCUUCUCCUUCAUUCUGUCGCUCCAGUACACGGAGGCCAUGCUCUGGUUUUUCCGGGAGAGUUCAGCCAUUGGUUGAACAUGCGGACCAUCAUAGAAGAGCUGGUGAAGAAAAACCACUCGGUCACCAUCCUAGUGCCCGAUGCAUCGCCUACUGUCAACUACAACAACAGCCGCGAUGCCGCCAAGUUCAACUUCCUGGUUUUCAAGGUGCCAUACAGCAGGGAGGAAUAUCUGAGCCCCAUUCAGGAAUUUCUAAACUUCUCCAUGCACGACCCCUCAACGCUGCAAGUGGCCAUGAAGCUGAUCAACUUCAUGGGGCGGACCUUGGACUUCGCGAGGCAGCAGUGUGACGGGAUUCUAAAGAACGAUCAGUUGAUGGCAACUCUGCGGGAUGCCGCUUUCGACGUCGUCCUACUUGACUCCUUGGUAAUGUGUGGCGACCUGGUGGCUGAUGUGCUCGGCGUGCCGCUCGUCAUCUCGCUACGCUUGAGUAUCGGCAGUGUUUUUGAGCGUCACUGUGGCCACGCUGUGUUUCUGCCAUCUUAUGUCCCGGUAGCUCCUGUGCUGUACAACGACCACAUGACGUUCACGGAGAGACUAAUCAACUUGGUGACAUAUGUGGCGUCAUCAGUGCUUACCGAACUGGGCUGGAAGCUGACGAUGGAUAAAUACUACAGUGAGAUUAAAGGAACUCCCACCAGUGUGUGUGAGACUCUGGGGAAGGCUGACGUGUGGCUCAUCAGGACGUUCUGGGACAUCGAUACGCCGCGGCCAACCCCACCCAACUUCAAACACGUGGGUGGUCUGAACUGCAGACCGGCCAAUCAGCUGCCAGAGGACCUGGAGGCUUUUGUGCAGAGUUCAGGUGAUGCUGGUGUAGUAGUGGUUUCUUUUGGCUCCAUGGUACCCAACCUGACGAUGGAGCGCACCAACGUCAUCGCCACCGCCUUAGGACGAAUCCCUCAGAAGGUGAUUUGGCGUCACCGUGGUGAAGCUCCACCUGCACUGGCGCCAAACAUAAAGAUUUCUGAUUGGAUCCCUCAGAACGAUCUGCUCGGUCACCCGAAGACACGAGCAUUCGUGACUCAUGGCGGCACUAACGGUCUGUACGAAGCUGUGUUUCACGGCGUGCCUCUGGUCGGCUUGCCGGUGUUUGGCGAUCAGUCUUAUAAUCUUAACCGCAUGAGCCACCUCGGCACUGCCAUUGUCCUCGACUUCAACAAAGUGACAGCUGAGGAGCUGGCAGAAGCACUGCAUGCCAUCGUCAACCAGCCAAGCUACAAGACCAGCAUUCAACGUCUGUCGGCGGUGCACCGCGACCAGCCGGUGACGCCACUGAAUACUGCCGUCUUCUGGUUGGAGUUUGUUAUGCGACAUCGUGGAGCUCGGCAUUUGCGGUUGGCUUCACAUAAUUUGAACUGGUUCCAGUACCACAGCUUGGACACGGGCGCUGUCCUGCUCGUCACUUUGAUGACUGCUGCUGCUUUGUGUUGGGCAGUCAUACGCUGCUUCCUGCAGAAGUGCAGACGACGAAGAGGAAGAGAGAAGGAGGACUGAAGAAAGUUUUUUUUUUUUUUGGAAGGGUGCAAAGGUGAGAGCUUGCUUGGGGCGGAAGAAAUGGCAGUGGGGGUAAGCCAGUCAGAAAGCAGAAGACCAAGAGGUCUCAUUCCUCACUGUCCUCUGUCCGCCAUGCUGGAUUUACAACCACAGAGCACGGAAGGUUACUGCAAGUUUCCUUACCUUGCCCAGGGUCCACUGUGCCUCUUACCCUGUGAGAGCUACAGGCUCCCGCCCCUCUUUAACCCCAAACAAGUGGGAGAAGAUGGAUGGAUAGGAGUUUGCAGACUUAAGUAAUGUUGCAAACAUCCAAAAAGAAGAAAAAAAUAUGUAUUUUACUUGAAAACCAGUUUAAACUUCUGCAAUGUGAAAUAGUUGUCCUUCCUUUCCCUUGACAGAGCGGAAAAAUGAUACUGAACACGUGCUGAGAAAUUUUCAAUAGUCCAGCCUUUUUCUGACUGCAGAAACUGACCCAAAUUUUCCCUCCCUAGACACGUUCAACAGUUUACCUCAGCAGGAGAAACACAGUUAAGAAUGACUGCUAAACCACUAAAGUGAUCCAGAUUGUGGAGUGCGCAGCUCACUGGGACGCUUACAUAAAAUGGGCCGUCGUUAAUGAAAUUUGUCUCACCUGUGCUUUUCCUGCUAAAGUUCUUUAA
Long non-coding RNA from Oreochromis niloticus (Nile tilapia), 2383 nucleotides. RefSeq annotates it as UDP-glucuronosyltransferase 2A1. The transcript is spliced from 7 exons. The record is from RefSeq and is a predicted model, not a curated record. Lineage: Eukaryota; Metazoa; Chordata; Actinopteri; Cichliformes; Cichlidae.